Molecule: ribosomal RNA, 496 nt
Filed under: uncultured bacterium
Lineage: Bacteria
Description: partial 16S ribosomal RNA
Rfam family: Bacterial small subunit ribosomal RNA
Source: RNAcentral
AUGAACGCUGGCGGCGUGCCUAAUACAUGCAAGUCGAGCGAACAGAUGAGGAGCUUGCUCCUCUGACGUUAGCGGCGGACGGGUGAGUAACACGUGGAUAACCUACCUAUAAGACUGGGAUAACUUCGGGAAACCGGAGCUAAUACCGGAUAAUAUAUUGAACCGCAUGGUUCAAUAGUGAAAGACGGUUUUGCUGUCACUUAUAGAUGGAUCCGCGCCGCAUUAGCUAGUUGGUAAGGUAACGGCUUACCAAGGCAACGAUGCGUAGCCGACCUGAGAGGGUGAUCGGCCACACUGGAACUGAGACACGGUCCAGACUCCUACGGGAGGCAGCAGUAGGGAAUCUUCCGCAAUGGGCGAAAGCUUGACGGAGCAACGCCGCGUGAGUGAUGAAGCUCUUCGGAUCGUAAAACUCUGUUAUUAGGGAAGAACAAAUGUGUAAGUAACUAUGCACGUCUUGACGGUACCUAAUCAGAAAGCCACGGCUAACUACGUG